Molecule: ribosomal RNA, 265 nt
Filed under: uncultured bacterium
Lineage: Bacteria
Description: partial 16S ribosomal RNA
Rfam family: Bacterial small subunit ribosomal RNA
Source: RNAcentral
AUGGCGACCGGCGCACGGGUGCGUAACGCGUAUGCAACCUACCUUUUACAGGGGCAUAACACUGAGAAAUUGGUACUAAUUCCCCAUAAUAUCUGAGACGGCAUCGUUUUGGGUUGAAAACUCCGGUGGUAAAAGAUGGGCAUGCGUUGUAUUAGCUAGUUGGCGGUGUAACGGACCACCAAGACGACGAUGCGUAGGGGUUCUGAGAGGAAGGUCCCCCACACUGGUACUGAGACACGGACCAGACUCCUACGGAAGGCAGCAG